AUCCAUCUGACGAGUCUCAAAUAGGAAGAAGUGCGCGUCCUGGAU
Schistosoma mansoni is the source of this 45-nucleotide non-coding RNA. NCBI's taxonomy places the organism in Eukaryota, Metazoa, Platyhelminthes, Trematoda, Strigeidida, Schistosomatidae. The record is from Rfam.